Molecule: long non-coding RNA, 405 nt
Organism: Manacus vitellinus (golden-collared manakin)
Lineage: Eukaryota; Metazoa; Chordata; Aves; Passeriformes; Pipridae
Exons: 3
Source: RefSeq, a predicted model, not a curated record
AUUCCUCCUCGUCGUCCUCCGCGUCUGGUUUUUCCUGACCGCCGGAGCCGGAGCAGGCGCUUUUAUUCUCUUUUUUCCACUUCAUGCGGCGGUUCUGGAACCAGAUUUUGAUCUGCCUCUCGGUGAGACACAGCGCGUGGGCGAUCUCGAUGCGUCUCCUCCUGGUCAGUUUAGACACCAGAAAAUCGGGAUGCUUGGCGAAUAAAUAGAGAAAUACAGCGGAGCAGAGCGACAGAGACAUCUGCUACCUACAGCAAUCCAACUAUUUGUCCUCUCUUAAAGCUGUCAUCGGGAUGCCUGCUUGGAAGUUCUGCUUGGAGGCGUCUCCGGGGCACAUCACCGAGAGGCUUUGCUCGAAGGGGGCACAGUGCAUGUUGAAGGAGCCGGGCUCCAGGCCGUACCCCG